This 341-nucleotide ribosomal RNA is filed under the name uncultured eukaryote. Its description in RNAcentral is "SSU rRNA". It matches the Rfam family "Eukaryotic small subunit ribosomal RNA", at positions 594 to 939 of the family's 1831-position model. The record is from RNAcentral.
AUAGCGUAUAUUAAAGUUGUUGUGGUUAAAAAGCUCGUAGUUGGAUCUCAGUUCGAGUCAGGCGGUCCACUUGCCAGUGGUUACUGCUUGACUGAACACUUUAUCGAGUUGUCCUAUAGUGCUCUUCACCGAGUGUUAUAGGCGAUCGGUACGUUUACUUUGAAAAAAUUAGAGUGCUCAAAGCAGGCGUAACGCCCGAAUAAUGUUGCAUGGAAUAAUGGAAUAGGACCUCGGUUCUAUUUUGUUGGUCUUCGGAAUCUGAGGUAAUGAUUAAGAGGGACAGACGGGGGCAUUCGUAUUGCGGCGCUAGAGGUGAAAUUCUUGGACCGUCGCAAGACGAA